RNAcentral lists this transfer RNA (75 nucleotides) under Synergistaceae bacterium. RNAcentral's name for it is "tRNA-Val". It matches the Rfam family "tRNA". Rfam says of the family: Transfer RNA (tRNA) molecules are approximately 80 nucleotides in length. The record is from RNAcentral. Lineage: Bacteria; Thermotogati; Synergistota; Synergistia; Synergistales; Synergistaceae.
GGGCGGAUAGCUCAGCGGGAGAGCGCCUGCCUUACACGCAGGAUGUCGUAGGUUCGAUCCCUAUUCCGCCCACCA